RNAcentral lists this ribosomal RNA (1372 nucleotides) under uncultured bacterium. RNAcentral's name for it is "bacterial SSU rRNA". It matches the Rfam family "Bacterial small subunit ribosomal RNA", at positions 28 to 1381 of the family's 1533-position model. The record is from RNAcentral.
GAUGAACGCUGGCGGCGUGCCUAAUACAUGCAAGUCGAGCGAACGGACGAGAAGCUUGCUUCUCUGAUGUUAGCGGCGGACGGGUGAGUAACACGUGGAUAACCUACCUAUAAGACUGGGAUAACUUCGGGAAACCGGAGCUAAUACCGGAUAAUAUUUUGAACCGCAUGGUUCAAAAGUGAAAGACGGUCUUGCUGUCACUUAUAGAUGGAUCCGCGCUGCAUUAGCUAGUUGGUAAGGUAACGGCUUACCAAGGCAACGAUGCAUAGCCGACCUGAGAGGGUGAUCGGCCACACUGGAACUGAGACACGGUCCAGACUCCUACGGGAGGCAGCAGUAGGGAAUCUUCCGCAAUGGGCGAAAGCCUGACGGAGCAACGCCGCGUGAGUGAUGAAGGUCUUCGGAUCGUAAAACUCUGUUAUUAGGGAAGAACAUAUGUGUAAGUAACUGUGCACAUCUUGACGGUACCUAAUCAGAAAGCCACGGCUAACUACGUGCCAGCAGCCGCGGUAAUACGUAGGUGGCAAGCGUUAUCCGGAAUUAUUGGGCGUAAAGCGCGCGUAGGCGGUUUUUUGAGUCUGAUGUGAAAGCCCACGGCUCAACCGUGGAGGGUCAUUGGAAACUGGAAAACUUGAGUGCAGAAGAGGAAAGUGGAAUUCCAUGUGUAGCGGUGAAAUACGCAGAGAUAUGGAGGAACACCAGUGGCGAAGGCGACUUUCUGGUCUGUAACUGACGCUGAUGCGCGAAAGCGUGGGGAUCAAACAGGAUUAGAUACCCUGGUAGUCCACGCCGUAAACGAUGAGUGCUAAGUGUUAGGGGGUUUCCGCCCCUUAGUGCUGCAGCUAACGCAUUAAGCACUCCGCCUGGGGAGUACGACCGCAAGGUUGAAACUCAAAGGAAUUGACGGGGACCCGCACAAGCGGUGGAGCAUGUGGUUUAAUUCGAAGCAACGCGAAGAACCUUACCAAAUCUUGACAUCCUUUGACAACUCUAGAGAUAGAGCUUUCCCCUUCGGGGGACAAAGUGACAGGUGGUGCAUGGUUGUCGUCAGCUCGUGUCGUGAGAUGUUGGGUUAAGUCCCGCAACGAGCGCAACCCUUAAGCUUAGUUGCCAUCAUUAAGUUGGGCACUCUAAGUUGACUGCCGGUGACAAACCGGAGGAAGGUGGGGAUGACGUCAAAUCAUCAUGCCCCUUAUGAUUUGGGCUACACACGUGCUACAAUGGACAAUACAAAGGGCAGCGAAACCGCGAGGUCAAGCAAAUCCCAUAAAGUUGUUCUCAGUUCGGAUUGUAGUCUGCAACUCGACUACAUGAAGCUGGAAUCGCUAGUAAUCGUAGAUCAGCAUGCUACGGUGAAUACGUUCCCGGGUCU